AGUAUCAAUGAUGAUGACGUGGCUCCCUCUACUGAAAUCUGUGAGGAAGAAUACCAUUGUUACCCAGUUUCAUCUGAGAUGCA
Polyodon spathula (Mississippi paddlefish) is the source of this 83-nucleotide small nucleolar RNA. RefSeq annotates it as small nucleolar RNA SNORD100. The record is from RefSeq and is a predicted model, not a curated record. The transcript has a single exon. Lineage: Eukaryota; Metazoa; Chordata; Actinopteri; Acipenseriformes; Polyodontidae.